This 915-nucleotide ribosomal RNA is filed under the name uncultured archaeon. Its description in RNAcentral is "bacterial SSU rRNA". It matches the Rfam family "Archaeal small subunit ribosomal RNA", at positions 1 to 922 of the family's 1478-position model. The record is from RNAcentral.
UUCCGGUUGAUCCUGCCGGACCUGACUGCUAUCGGAUUGAUACUAAGCCAUGCGAGUCUUUGCAGUAAUGCAAGGCAUACGGCUCAGUAACACGUAGUCAACCUACCCUAUGGACGAGAAUAAUCUCGGGAAACUGAGCAUAAUUCUUGAUAGAUCAUAAUGCCUGGAAUGGUUUAUGGUUAAAAUGAUUCGUCGCCAUAGGAUGGGACUGCGGCCUAUCAGCCUGUUGGUGAGGUAAUGGCCCACCAAGGCGAUUACAGGUACGGGCUCUGAGAGGAGAAGCCCGGAGAUGGGUACUGAGACACGGACCCAGGCCCUAUGGGGCGCAGCAGGCGAGAAAACUUUGCAAUGUGCGAAAGCACGACAAGGUUAAUCCGAGUGAUUUCUGCUAAAGAAAUCUUUUACCAGUCGUAAAACCGCUGGUGAAUAAGGGGUGGGCAAGUUCUGGUGUCAGCCGCCGCGGUAAAACCAGCACCUCAAGUGGUCAGGAUGAUUAUUGGGCCUAAAGCAUCCGUAGCCGGCUUUGUAAGUUUUCGGUUAAAUCCAUGUGCUCAACGCAUGGGCUGCCGAAAAUACUGCAUGGCUAGGGAGUGGGAGAGGUAGACGGUACUCAGUAGGUAGGGGUAAAAUCCUUUGAUCUAUUGAUGACCACCUGUGGCGAAGGCGGUCUACCAGAACACGUUCGACGGUGAGGGAUGAAAGCUGGGGGAGCAAACCGGAUUAGAUACCCGGGUAGUCCCAGCUGUAAACGAUGCAGACUAGAUGAUGCAUUGGCAUAAUAGCCAUUGCAGUGUCUCAGGGAAGCCGUUAAGUCUGCCGCCUGGGAGGUACGUACGCAAGUAUGAAACUUAAAGGAAUUGGCGGGGGAGCACCACAAGGGGUGAAGCCUGCGGUUCAAUUGGAAUCAACGCCGGA